UGUCUCCAGGACUCAAGCCCUGCCUGGCCUAACGCUCUGGGAAAUGAAGCCAUUCAAUAAAAACUUUUGAUAUUAGUUUUUAUAGGUAUUUACACUUCGUGAGGGGAGCUAAGGAGUUAAUCAGCCCCCAACCUUGGGUUUGGAUACUCAGUUUAU
This 156-nucleotide long non-coding RNA is filed under the name Nannospalax galili (Upper Galilee mountains blind mole rat). RNAcentral's name for it is "HOXA transcript at the distal tip, conserved region 4 (ENSNGAG00000007789.1)". It matches the Rfam family "HOXA transcript at the distal tip, conserved region 4". The record is from RNAcentral. Lineage: Eukaryota; Metazoa; Chordata; Mammalia; Rodentia; Spalacidae.